GUGGGGAAUCUUCCACAAUGGACGAAAGUCUGAUGGAGCAACGCCGCGUGAGUGAAGAAGGGUUUCGGCUCGUAAAGCUCUGUUGUCGGGGACGAAUGUGCAGUAUUUGAAUAAAGUACUGCAAUGACGGUACCUGACGAGGAAGCCACGGCUAACUACGUGCCAGCAGCCGCGGUAAUACGUAGGUGGCAAGCGUUGUCCGGAAUUAUUGGGCGUAAAGGGAGCGCAGGCGGGAAGGUAAGUCGGUCUUAAAAGUGAGGGGCUCAACCCCGUGAUGGGAUCGAAACUAUCUUUCUUGAGUGCAGGAGAGGAAAGUGGAAUUCCUAGUGUAGCGGUGAAAUGCGUAGAUAUUAGGAGGAACACCAGUGGCGAAGGCGACUUUCUGGACUGUAACUGACGCUGAGGCUCGAAAGCCAGGGGAGCGAACGGGAUUAGAUACCCUGGUAGUCC
Molecule: ribosomal RNA, 450 nt
Filed under: uncultured bacterium
Lineage: Bacteria
Description: partial 16S ribosomal RNA
Rfam family: Bacterial small subunit ribosomal RNA
Source: RNAcentral